GACGAACGCUGGCGGCGUGCCUAAUACAUGCAAGUUGAGCGCUGAAGGUUGGUACUUGUACCAACUGGAUGAGCAGCGAACGGGUGAGUAACGCGUGGGGAAUCUGCCUUUGAGCGGGGGACAACAUUUGGAAACGAAUGCUAAUACCGCAUAAAAACUUUAAACACAAGUUUUAAGUUUGAAAGAUGCAAUUGCAUCACUCAAAGAUGAUCCCGCGUUGUAUUAGCUAGUUGGUGAGGUAAAGGCUCACCAAGACGAUGAUACAUAGCCGACCUGAGAGGGUGAUCGGCCACAUUGGGACUGAGACACGGCCCAAACUCCUACGGGAGGCAGCAGUAGGGAAUCUUCGGCAAUGGACGAAAGUCUGACCGAGCAACGCCGCGUGAGUGAAGAAGGUUUUCGGAUCGUAAAACUCUGUUGGUAGAGAAGAACGUUGGUGAGAGUGGAAAGCUCAUCAAGUGACGGUAACUACCCAGAAAGGGACGGCUAACUACGUG
RNAcentral lists this ribosomal RNA (497 nucleotides) under uncultured bacterium. Its description in RNAcentral is "partial 16S ribosomal RNA". It matches the Rfam family "Bacterial small subunit ribosomal RNA", at positions 28 to 507 of the family's 1533-position model. The record is from RNAcentral.